RNAcentral lists this transfer RNA (76 nucleotides) under Camelus bactrianus (Bactrian camel). It matches the Rfam family "tRNA". From Rfam's summary of the family: Transfer RNA (tRNA) molecules are approximately 80 nucleotides in length. Their secondary structure includes four short double-helical elements and three loops (D, anti-codon, and T loops). Further hydrogen bonds mediate the characteristic L-shaped molecular structure. tRNAs have two regions of fundamental functional importance: the anti-codon, which is responsible for specific mRNA codon recognition, and the 3' end, to which the tRNAs corresponding amino acid is attached (by aminoacyl-tRNA synthetases). tRNAs cope with the degeneracy of the genetic code in two manners: having more than one tRNA (with a specific anti-codon) for a particular amino acid; and 'wobble' base-pairing, i.e. permitting non-standard base-pairing at the 3rd anti-codon position. The record is from Rfam by way of RNAcentral. RNAcentral also lists the same sequence under 1 other name. Lineage: Eukaryota; Metazoa; Chordata; Mammalia; Artiodactyla; Camelidae.
UGAAAUAUAGCUCAGUGGUAGAGCGUGUGCUUAGCAUGCAUGCAUAAGGUCCUGGGUUCAAUCCCCAGUACCUAAA